AGUGAACGCUGGCGGUAGGCCUAACGCAUGCAAGUCGAACGGCAGCACAGUAAGAGCUUGCUCUUACGGGUGGCGAGUGGCGGACGGGUGAGGAGUACAUCGGAAUCUACUUUUUCGUGGGGGAUAACGUAGGGAAACUUACGCUAAUACCGCAUACGACCUACGGGUGAAAGCAGGGGAUCUUCGGACCUUGCGCGAUUGAAUGAGCCGAUGUCGGAUUAGCUAGUUGGCGGGGUAAAGGCCCACCAAGGCGACGAUCCGUAGCUGGUCUGAGAGGAUGAUCAGCCACACUGGAACUGAGACACGGUCCAGACUCCUACGGGAGGCAGCAGUGGGGAAUAUUGGACAAUGGGCGCAAGCCUGAUCCAGCCAUACCGCGUGGGUGAAGAAGGCCUUCGGGUUGUAAAGCCCUUUUGUUGGGAAAGAAAAGCAGCAGGUUAAUACCCCGCUGUUCUGACGGUACCCAAAGAAUAAGCACCGGCUAACUUCGUG
This 492-nucleotide ribosomal RNA is filed under the name uncultured bacterium. RNAcentral describes it as "partial 16S ribosomal RNA". It matches the Rfam family "Bacterial small subunit ribosomal RNA", at positions 29 to 507 of the family's 1533-position model. The record is from RNAcentral.